Long non-coding RNA from Dermacentor silvarum, 3012 nucleotides. RefSeq lists it as uncharacterized. The record is from RefSeq and is a predicted model, not a curated record. Lineage: Eukaryota; Metazoa; Arthropoda; Arachnida; Ixodida; Ixodidae. The transcript has 2 exons.
ACAGCACUCUGGAUACAGCGCUCCUUCCUGUCACGUUUCUCACUUCUCAUAUAGAUGGUCACGCUGCUAACCAAAGAUGCAACAUUACCAACAUGCUCGUUCAGCCACCCUUGAAAAUUCCCAGAGCAUUUGUUGAAUGUACCAAAUGCAUUGCUAGAUGGACAAGUCGGCAUUCGUGUUCACCUUCCAUGAUUUUUCUUGGAAAUCAGAUAAAAUUUAUGUAACAUCCAGAAGAGAUUAUGAAAGCAGUAUUCAUACUUUGUUGUACCUUCAGUAGUAUCGGUGCAAAUUGUUGGUUUGAAGUGUUUCAGUGUUUGCUUUCAUGUGUUAGUUUGCACAAUUACGGGAGGAGCGCAUUGCAUGAGGCUUGUAGUUGCUGCCAUAGACAUGAGCAAGAGUUCGAGGUAGCUAUUUUGAAUCUCAAAUACACAGCACCUUAAAUGUGUUGAGGCUCAAGAGUAUUAGGUGGGAGACAAAAGAAAGGAAGUUGCUGCAGAAAAGGCAUUUCAUCACAACUCAGCGUUAAUCUUCAGAAUAAACCUUAUCUCUUCCUUAAGACUCCUGCAUGUUGACAAUCUCACUUGUGUGCAUUAGGAAAGAUGCUGGGUGUUGCGUAAAUAACGGAGCCAGCUAUAAAGGGCACUUUUGGCUGUGCCACUGGCUUGCUUAAGCUGGAAUUUCAUUGAGAGGUGGCAUUUUGUGUUGUAUUUUUUGUGUGAAGUAUUUGUCUCUCUCAGACAGAGUAAAAUACACCUACGGUGGGAUAAUGUAACGGUUCCUGUCACUUGGUUAUUGAUGCGAAAGCAUCAAAUGACUCAUUAAGCAAAACAGCCGGCUUUUGUAGCAGCGAAACGGAGCCUAAGUUCCCAAUGGCUGCGACGCCACGUCACAAGCGUGCCUUGACGGAGCAGAGCGGGUGAACCAGAACACCAGGUGUUGCGUGAGGGGAGAGGGCAUUACCUCAGUGCCAUGUCACCAGCGCAGCUCGAAGGAUGACGAUGUGGGGCAAGACGGGUUGUCGCCUGAUGCAUGCGUGUGGGUGCUGCCGUCUUGCUCUCGGAAGCCAGUGCGCAGUCCCUAUCUCUCUCUCCCACCCCCGCUGGGCUUGGCUGCUGCAUGCGCCUGUCUGCUUCGGUGGCCGCCGCUGCUUCCUCGGUCUCUCGUCGCACAGGACAUUCGUGACAUGCGUCAUUGGCAUUGCAGGCUGCUGCUGCUUGCUGGCUCGGGCAGCACAGAACUCGAAAAACCGCUCAGCGGCAUUCAAUUGGACAUUAAUGCGCUCGCAAUCAUAACUCGUAAGAAGUGCUUAGGUGUGCUCGGAUUUUUUCUUUGAUCACCUGCCGAUCAUGACUGCACAAUCCUAUUGUAAAAGAAGGCCAUGUGUGCUUGGACCACUCUCGAACUGCAACACAGAAAAAGCUUGGAUAUUAUUGUUGCAUUAUCCUAGCCUGUAUACUUGGCGAUCCUAUUUACGUAACAUUUUGUAUGUCAUUUGCGAUGAUGUGGAGGCAAACAAACUUAACACUUUAGCAAAUGCAAUACACUCUUUAAAAAAUGUUACACCCUUUGCAGGUUCCAGAAGCGCAGAUGUUUGUCCCCAAACAAUAAUCGUCUGUCUUGCUUGAGUUCCCUUGAAAAUUCUGUGCUCACUACUUCCCUGUGAAGAAUUCUAUGUAAUGCUAAUAACACUCAUACCAUUCGUGACCGUUUAGCGUAAAAAAAUGCAUGCAAGAUAGAUUACGAUUAUUGUUUGGGGACAAGAUAACCCUCAGAGGGUCCAAGGUUUUCUUAGAGUGUAGUGACAGGCAGUCUGUCAUUGUUAGGGCAUCGGGGUGCCACCCACUGUUGUGUUAAAAGCUGUGCAUUUCUUGUGUGGUGCCACUGCAGAUGACGCAUGCUUAUGAUUAUCAAAGUGAGCAAGUACCGCAUGCAAGUGGGGUAUUAAUCAAAAUACCUCGACGAACCCUGCCUUUGAGUGGAAUUUGAUGGUGACAGAGUCAGCAGCUUGGCUGCAGAAGCCAGUUAUAGACAAGCUCUAGAGCACGACAUGAAUAUUCAGCAAUGAUGCCCUCACAUUCUAUCUAGACAAAAAAAAAUAAUUUCAACAAUUUCAACUGCCCUAAAUUGCUUCAAUUAAGCUGCAGGAAAUUUAACGGCCAACUGAAACAGCAUUCCAUUUUGGCUAUAAGGGUAUAAGUAUAUACUAUCAAGACAUCUUAGCAAAGCUGCAUUGCUGUUAACUGUUUAAUUUUCCUAUUAACAGCCUUUAAAUAGCACCUAAACUGAUGCAUCAGGUGUGUGGUGGUUAGCAAAUUGCAGAACAUGGCCUCUGAGAUUUUUAGUACACUGUAGUUGCUACCUGAUCUCUGAGGUCAUGUCCAGGCGGCACGCUGGUUCUCAAUGUUCAAUGUUUUGCGCAAAGUCAGUUCUGGCGAACAGUAAUGGCAGUGUUUUUUUUGUCAAUAUCACAAACUUUUUGCGACAUUUAGUAAAGCUGUGAACCCGGCUAGUUGGUGCAUGUUCCUGAUUGUAUUUCUUUCGUACAAUUCUUUCAGUGUUAUAACUCGGCCUAGCACAAUCAUGUUUUUACAACAUAAUUUCAAACAUAAAGCAUAUUUCAAACAAAUUUUGGUAGAGGCUGCUCUAUCACGCUGCAAAUGAAAUGCUUAUGUUGUCCAAAAGUUGUUUGGGAAAGAUUGUUGUUAUAAGCAGCAACCAGCAAAAAAAAAAGCAGAAGUGUCACUGUAGCCAUCUUCUAUUCUUGCCUGUAUUGUUGUUUGUUUACAAACUUGCAGUUUGUCUAUACUUGUCGUCGCGCAUAAUUUGAAGAGUGCAGUUUGUGCCCAAGCCUUGAAUGCAACCCAUUAAAAGAGCAGACACAGUAAAGCCGCACUGAGAUAUGGUCCAAUAACUGCCACAUUUGUGAUAUUAAAACAUUCCAGUAGACUCUGAAUGUUGCACUUCCUCGGCUUUCGAAUGUUGCAUCAAUAAAGUAUUCUUUUAUUUCAAGAC